Molecule: long non-coding RNA, 181 nt
Organism: Spodoptera frugiperda (fall armyworm)
Lineage: Eukaryota; Metazoa; Arthropoda; Insecta; Lepidoptera; Noctuidae
Exons: 2
Source: RefSeq, a predicted model, not a curated record
UAUUACCCGACUGCGCCAGAAGGAGGGUUAUGUUUUUCGAGUGUAUGUAUGUAUAUAUGUAUGUAUGUAUGUAUGUAUGUAUGUAUGUAUGUAUAAUUGUUUGGCACGCUCUGCAGCCUAAACGGCUUGAUGGAUUUUGACUUGAGAGGUGUCGUUAGAUUCGUAUUUACUGUGAGAGUGA